Podarcis lilfordi (Lilford's wall lizard) is the source of this 71-nucleotide non-coding RNA. The record is from the annotation of a GenBank genome assembly. Lineage: Eukaryota; Metazoa; Chordata; Lepidosauria; Squamata; Lacertidae.
AGGGAUAUAGCUCAGUGGUAGAACAUCUGUCCUCCCUGUUGAUGUCCCAGGUUCAGUCCCUGGCAUCUCCA